RNAcentral lists this non-coding RNA (78 nucleotides) under bovine gut metagenome. RNAcentral describes it as "Cyclic di-GMP-I riboswitch". It matches the Rfam family "c-di-GMP-I riboswitch aptamer". From Rfam's summary of the family: GEMM was predicted in a large-scale screen for bacterial structured RNA regulatory elements. The record is from RNAcentral. RNAcentral also lists the same sequence under 1 other name.
AUAUGGGCAAACUUAUGGAAACGUGAGGACGCAAAGCUAAAUAUCUACGGUAUACCCUACUAUGAUCGAUUGGUUGCA